UAGGGAAUUUUCGUCAAUGGGCGCAAGCCUGAACGAGCGAUGCCGCGUGAGUGAAGAAGGCCUUCGGUCGUAAAGCUCUGUUGCGGGGGAAAAAAGGCAGCAUCAGGAAAUGGGUGCUGACUGAUGGUGCCCCGCCAGAAAGUCACGGCUAAACUACGUGCC
RNAcentral lists this ribosomal RNA (162 nucleotides) under uncultured bacterium. Its description in RNAcentral is "partial 16S ribosomal RNA". It matches the Rfam family "Bacterial small subunit ribosomal RNA", at positions 355 to 509 of the family's 1533-position model. The record is from RNAcentral.